UGGGGAAUAUUGGACAAUGGGCGCAAGCCUGAUCCAGCCAUACCGCGUGGGUGAAGAAGGCCUUCGGGUUGUAAAGCCCUUUUGUUGGGAAAGAAAAGCAAUCGAUUAAUACCCGGUUGUUCUGACGGUACUCAAAGAAUAAGCACCGGCUAACUUCGUGCCAGCAGCCGCGGUAAUACGAAGGGUGCAAGCGUUACUCGGAAUUACUGGACGUAAGGCGUGCGUAGGUGGUUGUUUAAGUCUGUUGUGAAAGCCCUGGGCUCAACCUGGGAAUUGCAGUGGAUACUGGGCGACUAGAGUGUGGUAGAGGGUAGUGGAAUUCCCGGUGUAGCAGUGAAAUGCGUAGAGAUCGGGAGGAACAUCCAUGGCGAAGGCAGCUACCUGGACCAACACUGACACUGAGGCACGAAAGCGUGGGGAGCAAACAGGAUUAGAUACCCUGGUAGUCCACGCCCUAAACGAUGCGAACUGGAUGUUGGGUGCAAUUUGGCACGCAGUAUCGAAGCUAACGCGUUAAGUUCGCCGCCUGGGGAGUACGGUCGCAAGACUGA
RNAcentral lists this ribosomal RNA (551 nucleotides) under uncultured bacterium. Its description in RNAcentral is "bacterial SSU rRNA". It matches the Rfam family "Bacterial small subunit ribosomal RNA", at positions 355 to 897 of the family's 1533-position model. The record is from RNAcentral.